GAUGAAGAACGCAGCGAAAUGCGAUAAGUAAUGCGAAUUGCAGAAUUCAGUGAAUCAUCGAAUCUUUGAACGCACAUUGCGCCCCUUGGUAUUCCGAGGGGCAUGCCUGUUCGAGCGUCAUUAUAACCCCUCAAGCUCAGCUUGGUGUUGGGGCCUGCUGCACUGGCAGCCCUUAAAAUCAGUGGCGGCGCCAUCUGGCUCUAAGCGUAGUAAUUCUUCUCGCUAUGGAGUCCUGGUGGAUGCUUGCCAUCAACCCCCAAUUUUUCUAUGGUUGACCUCGGAUCAGGUAGGGAUACCCGCUGAACUUAAGCAUAUCAAUAAGCGGAGGA
This 329-nucleotide unclassified non-coding RNA is filed under the name soil metagenome. RNAcentral describes it as "partial contains 5.8S ribosomal RNA, internal transcribed spacer 2, and large subunit ribosomal RNA". The stretch from base 1 to 120 matches the Rfam family "5.8S ribosomal RNA", at positions 35 to 154 of the family's 154-position model. The record is from RNAcentral.